GUGCCAGCAUCUGCGGUUAAUCUGUUUUCUUUGCUUUUGUGUGGAUUAUGCGUAUUUAUUUAUGUGCAAUGUUAGGUUAAAUUUUUUUGUGACAGUGUGUGGUAAAUAGGUUUUGUUAUGAUAUAUAUGAUGACAGGGAUUAGAUACCCCAUUAAUGUAUUUUGUAAAGUUGUUCUAGUUUUGUAACUAAAAUGGUUUGGCAGUGAGCGAUUCUUAUUAGGGGAAUAUGCAUAGUGAAGGAUGGUCCACCUAUUAGUUUACUCUUUUUAUGUUGGUGUAUGUCUGGUUUGAUAUUAUUGUUGAAUAAUUUAAGUUUGUGUAGUUUUAGUUAAGCUAAGUCUAUGUGCUGCUUAUGGGAGUUUUUGUGUGUUACAUUAAUAAGGGUGUUAUUGUGAGAUGAUGUGAUUUAGGACUUAAUAG
Molecule: ribosomal RNA, 420 nt
Filed under: Echinococcus granulosus
Lineage: Eukaryota; Metazoa; Platyhelminthes; Cestoda; Cyclophyllidea; Taeniidae
Description: partial small subunit ribosomal RNA
Source: RNAcentral